CUCUGCGAGAAGUCCAUUGAACCUUAUCAUUUAGAGGAAGGAGAAGUCGUAACAAGGUUUCCGUAGGUGAACCUGCGGAAGGAUCAUUGCCGAGAUCGAUUGUGCGAUUCUGAAAACUUGUGAGAUAAUUAUGAUAAAAUAUGUUAUAGUCACGACCUCAUCUAUUUCGAUGGCAGGUUGCGAUGAAUGGCAGAUGAAAAAACUCAAAUCGAUGCAAUUCAGCAUCAAGGGAAUAUAAAAACAUGAGCUCGUGAUCGGGCUUUUGGAGUGGAGUGCGGAUGCACAUUAUAUGGAUUGACAAGACUCUCAACAAUGGAUAUCUUGGGUCUCGCAUCGAUGAAGAGCGCAGCGAAAUGUGAUAUAUGGUGUGAAUUGCAGAAUCCCGCGAGCCAUCGAGUCUUUGAACGCAAGUUGCGCCUGAGGCCAAUAGGCCAAGGGCACGUCUGCCUGGGCGUCAAGCGUUUUGUAGCUCUGUGCAACUCCAUCUUGCCAACGGGCAUGUUGGAUGAUGCUUGGAUGCGCAUAUUGGCUCGUCGUGGUCAUUAGUGCGGCGGGAUAAAGUACGGGUUAUUGUCUCAUUGCCAUAAGCAACAAUGGGUGGAUAAAUGCCUUGAGCAAGUCCUAUAUUGCCUUGUGGCAUCUCGAGAAAAUAUUUUAUACCUCGGAGGUGAUCCCAACCCAUCCGUUAAUCUGCAUAUGACGGCUUGGAAUGCGACCUCAGGAUGGCGAGGCCACCCGCUGAGUUUAAGCAUAUCAA
Molecule: ribosomal RNA, 757 nt
Filed under: Nephelaphyllum pulchrum
Lineage: Eukaryota; Viridiplantae; Streptophyta; Magnoliopsida; Asparagales; Orchidaceae
Description: eukaryotic LSU rRNA
Rfam family: 5.8S ribosomal RNA (bases 302-457)
Source: RNAcentral